RNAcentral lists this ribosomal RNA (253 nucleotides) under uncultured bacterium. RNAcentral's name for it is "partial 16S ribosomal RNA". It matches the Rfam family "Bacterial small subunit ribosomal RNA", at positions 524 to 776 of the family's 1533-position model. The record is from RNAcentral.
UACGUAGGGGGCAAGCGUUGUCCGGAAUUAUUGGGCGUAAAGCGCGCGCAGGCGGUCCUUUAAGUCUGAUGUGAAAUCUUGCGGCUUAACCGCAAGCGGUCAUUGGAAACUGGGGGGCUUGAGUACAGAAGAGGAGAGCGGAAUUCCACGUGUAGCGGUGAAAUGCGUAGAUAUGUGGAGGAACACCAGUGGCGAAGGCGGCUCUCUGGUCUGUAACUGACGCUGAGGCGCGAAAGCGUGGGGAGCAAACAGG